This 82-nucleotide small RNA is filed under the name bovine gut metagenome. RNAcentral's name for it is "RAGATH-35 RNA". It matches the Rfam family "RAGATH-35 RNA". From Rfam's summary of the family: Clostridium (Firmicutes). Nearby to self-cleaving ribozyme genes The record is from RNAcentral.
GCGGGCAGCACAGCUUUGGUGCUUCGGAACGGUCUGCAGCAGGCUCAUCAACGGUUUUGUUUCCCUUAUCCGUUUGAGUGAU